Molecule: ribosomal RNA, 472 nt
Filed under: Rahnella aquatilis
Lineage: Bacteria; Pseudomonadati; Pseudomonadota; Gammaproteobacteria; Enterobacterales; Yersiniaceae
Description: bacterial SSU rRNA
Rfam family: Bacterial small subunit ribosomal RNA
Source: RNAcentral
UGGACAAAGAUGACGCUCAGGUGUGAAAGCGUGGGGAGCAAACAGGAUUAGAUACCCUGGUAGUCCACGCUGUAAACGAUGUCGACUUGGAGGUUGUGCCCUUGAGGCGUGGCUUCCGGAGCUAACGCGUUAAGUCGACCGCCUGGGGAGUACGGCCGCAAGGUUAAAACUCAAAUGAAUUGACGGGGGCCCGCACAAGCGGUGGAGCAUGUGGUUUAAUUCGAUGCAACGCGAAGAACCUUACCUACUCUUGACAUCCACGGAACUUGCCAGAGAUGGCUUGGUGCCUUCGGGAACCGUGAGACAGGUGCUGCAUGGCUGUCGUCAGCUCGUGUUGUGAAAUGUUGGGUUAAGUCCCGCAACGAGCGCAACCCUUAUCCUUUGUUGCCAGCACUUCGGGUGGGAACUCAAAGGAGACUGCCGGUGAUAAACCGGAGGAAGGUGGGGAUGACGUCAAGUCAUCAUGGCCCUU